UCAUCCAUCAGUCCAUCCUCUGAAUCACACAUCCAUCCAUUAUCCAUCCAUCAUCCAUCCAUCCACUCACCAGUCAUCACCAAGGGCUGGUCUCUGGUGACUUCUCUGAAAAUGCUAUCAGAGAUGUCUAGAUGGAAAGAGGUAAGAAAGAAUAGAUGAUAAGAGAAAGGUCCAUAAGAAAGGAAAAGCAGAUGGAUGGAUAGGAAUAAGGAUGGAUAGAACAAAGGAAAGAAAAGAUGGAAGGUGGAGAGGCAGAUAGAUGGAUGCAUGGGAAGGACAAAAGGAUAGGUGAACAGAGGAGUGCAUGGAUGGGCAGAUGGAAAACUGGAGGGACAGAAGGAAGGAUCUGUUUAUUCACCUAUCAAAUUUUGAGAACCUCCAUACCCAAGUCAGGUCAUGCUGGUGCCUGACUAGUGAUUGAGACACGAGUCCUUGGCCGUAUCAUGGAUCUUUUGAGGAAGACACACGUUCCAGUCUGAGUAUAUUUGUGUGGGGCAGAGGAGGUGGGAAGAGAGUGACAUGGGAGUUCAGGGAGGGCUUCCCAGAGGUGGUGACAUUUGAUCCAAGUUUUAAAGAAUUGGCAAGAAUUCUUGACGUGUGGCAUCUACCAAGCAGAUAUAUAGAGAGUGAUGGAUUUCCCAAGGCCUUGUCCCUGAACCUAAGCCUAGGUGGGCACCAGAGAGCCUGGAGUGGCCUGCUCAAGCCUUCUGGGUCCCCCAUUCAUAUCCCCAGCCUGACAGCUCAUCAUCACCCCUGUGACUGAAUUGUUCCUCCCUGAGCCCCUGGCUUCCCUUCCUAGCUUGGGCUCCGGUUGGAAAAUGCUGAGGAAAUUGUUCACAGGCUGUUUGGCAGGAAGUCAUUCUGGGGCCAGGAAGACAGGAGAGAGGCCAAGCCAGAGAAGCCCCCAGGGCCAGAACGAGGGCCUGUACCACAGCGAGCCAGCCCCGAGUGUCCAGGAGACAGAGACAGAAGGAUGAGAGACCUACAGCAGAAGGUGACCGGGAGGCGUGGGGCGGCCCAGCGGGCUCUGCGAUGCGAGUUGAGCAUGAAGGUGCUGGGGCAGGAGCUGAGCUUUGUGAACUGUGGAGCCACAGGGAAUCACGUGAACCACCGGUACCUGAACCUGGCCGAGCUCGCCAUCAGGCUCAUGAAGGGGCAGCAGGUGCAGAUGAACCGGAGGCUGUGCCUGGCCACAGAGGAGCUGGUUUUUCCCACGGUGUCUGGCCUUCCUGCCCUGCUGACCCUAAACGCUUCAGCUGCCAUCAGCAUUCGGGUCCGAGGAACC
This 1285-nucleotide long non-coding RNA is filed under the name Piliocolobus tephrosceles (Ugandan red Colobus). Its description in RNAcentral is "lncRNA (ENSPTEG00000023327.1)". Lineage: Eukaryota; Metazoa; Chordata; Mammalia; Primates; Cercopithecidae. The record is from RNAcentral.